Molecule: ribosomal RNA, 323 nt
Filed under: uncultured bacterium
Lineage: Bacteria
Description: bacterial SSU rRNA
Rfam family: Bacterial small subunit ribosomal RNA
Source: RNAcentral
AACGCUGGCUCUGUGCUUUAACAUGCAAGUCGAGCGGCAGCGCGGGGGCAACCCUGGCGGCGAGCGCCGCACGGGUGAGUAAUGCAUCGGAACGUGUCCUCUUGUGGGGGAUAACCAGUCGAAAGACUGGCUAAUACCGCAUGAGCACGAGAGUGGAAAGCGGGGGACCGUAAGGCCUCGCGCGAGAGGAGCGGCCGAUGCCGGAUUAGCUAGUUGGCGGGGUAAAAGCCCACCAAGGCGACGAUCCGUAGCUGGUCUGAGAGGACGACCAGCCACACUGGGACUGAGACACGGCCCAGACUCCUACGGGAGGCAGCAGUGGG